AGGAGACACAGAAGAUGGAGGGAGGGAUGGCAGCCUACCCUGUGGCAACGCGGGAGUCGCGUUGCCGCAGGGGGCGCAUUGGGGUCCAGCCGUCCCCAGAACGCAGAUCAGAGGUAGUCGGACCUUUCCCGCUGGCGCGCAGCCUCAGCUAGGGCACACAGAGUGAACAGAAAAAGAGGAUACCUCUGCGAUCCCGGGUCAUCUCCAGAUGCUAGGGUUAUGGUUUAUUCUAGUGGGCCCAACCUCUGAGACCAUCCUUGAACAUCAGUAGACUGUGAGUUGUACAUGGGCGAGAGCAGCUUCGCCAACCCCUGCAAAGUGACUCUGAAGAAGAUGACAAUACCUGCUUCAGUCACACCCGGAAGCUGACUGGUCCACGCAUGGCCAAAGCAUGAGAAAACUCAUUGCGGGACUCAUUUUCCUUAAAAUUUGGACUUAUACCAUAGGGACUUCAACUGACCUUCCUCAGACUGAAGACUAUUCCCAGUAUAUACGUCAAGUCACUGAGGUAGGAAAAAAGUUGCUACAGUCCUAUUAUUUUAUGGUUAUUAUAAGUAUACCAGGACUCUAAAAAGAACUUGUUUGUAUAAUGCUAUUCUAUACAAGGUAUGUAGCCCAGGAAAUGACCAACCUGAUGUGUGUUAUGACCCAUCUGAGCCUCCCAUGACCACAGUUUUUAAGAUUAAGGACUGAAACCUGGUGGGGGCUCAUAAACGAUAUGAGUAAAGUGUUAGCCAAAACAAAAGAAAAAGGGGUGCCCAAACAAGUCACCUUGAAGUUUGAUGCCUGUGUUGUCAUUAAUAGUAAUAAGUUAGGAAUAGGAUGUGGUUCUCUUAAUUAGGAAAAAGGCUAUAUGGCAAAAAAAAAAAAAAAGUACAUUUGUCAUAAAUUAGGACUGUAUGGAAAUGAACGUGCAUACUGGUCUUGUGUCAUUUCGGCUACUUGGAUAAAAAAUGAAAAGGAUCCCGUCCACCUUCAGAAAGGGAAAAGUGGCCCUUCCUGUACAAGUGGUCAGUGUAACCCCUUAGAACUAGUAAUAACCAACCCCCUUGAUCCUCACUGGAAAAAAGGGGAGCGUGUAACCCUAGGAAUUGAGGGGGCUGGACUGGAUCCUCGAGUAAAUAUCAUGGCUUGAGGAGAAGUUUAUAAACGCUCUCCUGAGCCAGUAUCUCAACCCUUCUACGAUUAACUGAAUGUGUCAGUACCAGAAAUUCCAGGAAAAACAAGAAAUUUGUUUUUACAAUUAGCUGAGCAUGUAGCCUAGUCUCUCAGUUUCACUUCAUGUUAUGUAUGUGGAGGAACUAUAAUGGGAGAUCAAUGGCCAUGGGAAGCCUGAGAAUUAGUACCUACAGACCCAGUUCCUGAUGAAUCCCCAGUUCAAAAGAAUCACCCUGAUAACUUCUGGGUCCUAAAAGCCUCAAUUAUUAGACAAUACUGUAUAGCAAGAGUGGGGAAGGACUUCAACCUUCCUGUGGGAAGACUCAACUGCCUUGAGCAAAAACUGUAUAAUAUUACUACAAAAACAGCCACCUAGUGGAGUUCAAACCACACUAAGAAAAAUCCAUUUAGUAAAUUCCCAAAGUUGCAAACCAUGUGAACCCACCCAGAGUCCCACUGGGACUGGGCAGCCCCCACUGGAUUAUACUGGAUAUGUGGGCAUAGAGCUUACACCAAAUUACCCUACCAGUGGGCAGAUAGUUGUGUUAUUGGCACUAUUAAACCAUCUUUCUUCCUACUGCCCAUAAAGACAGGCAAACUCCUGGGCUUCCCUGUCUAUGCUUCCCACAAAAAGAGAAGCAUAGCUAUAGGAAAUUGGAAAGAUAAUGAAUGGCCCCCUGAGAGAAUCAUAUAAUAUUAUGGGCCCGCUACUUGGGCACAAGAUGGCUCGCGGUGAUAUGGGACCCCCAUUUACAUGCUGAACUGAAUCAUACGGUUACAAGCUGUCUUAGAAAUAAUCACUAAUAAGAUCGGCAGAGCCUUGACUAUUCUGACCCAGCAAGAAACUCAGAUGAGAAAUGCUGUCUAUCAAAAUAGAUUGGCUCUCGACUACUUGCUAGCAGCUGAAGGAGGGGUCUGUGGGAAAUUUAACCUUACUAAUUGCU
RNAcentral lists this long non-coding RNA (2102 nucleotides) under Homo sapiens (human). Its description in RNAcentral is "non-protein coding DANT2:7". Lineage: Eukaryota; Metazoa; Chordata; Mammalia; Primates; Hominidae. The record is from RNAcentral.